CUUUUACAAUGAAGAGUUUGAUCCUGGCUCAGGAUGAACGCUAGCUACAGGCUUAACACAUGCAAGUCGAGGGGCAGCAUUUCAGUUUGCUUGCAAACUGGAGAUGGCGACCGGCGCACGGGUGAGUAACACGUAUCCAACCUGCCGAUAACUCGGGGAUAGCCUUUCGAAAGAAAGAUUAAUACCCGAUGGUAUAAUCAGACCGCAUGGUCUUAUUAUUAAAGAAUUUCGGUUAUCGAUGGGGAUGCGUUCCAUUAGGCAGUUGGUGAGGUAACGGCUCACCAAACCUUCGAUGGAUAGGGGUUCUGAGAGGAAGGUCCCCCACAUUGGAACUGAGACACGGUCCAAACUCCUACGGGAGGCAGCAGUGAGGAAUAUUGGUCAAUGGACGAGAGUCUGAACCAGCCAAGUAGCGUGAAGGAUGACUGCCCUAUGGGUUGUAAACUUCUUUUAUAUGGGAAUAAAGUUUUCCACGUGUGGAAUUUUGUAUGUACCAUAUGAAUAAGGAUCGGCUAACUCCGUGCCAGCAGCCGCGGUAAUACGGAGGAUCCGAGCGUUAUCCGGAUUUAUUGGGUUUAAAGGGAGCGUAGGUGGACAGUUAAGUCAGUUGUGAAAGUUUGCGGCUCAACCGUAAAAUUGCAGUUGAUACUGGCUGUCUUGAGUACAGUAGAGGUGGGCGGAAUUCGUGGUGUAGCGGUGAAAUGCUUAGAUAUCACGAAGAACUCCGAUUGCGAAGGCAGCUCACUGGACUGCAACUGACACUGAUGCUCGAAAGUGUGGGUAUCAAACAGGAUUAGAUACCCUGGUAGUCCACACAGUAAACGAUGAAUACUCGCUGUUUGCGAUAUACAGUAAGCGGCCAAGCGAAAGCAUUAAGUAUUCCACCUGGGGAGUACGCCGGCAACGGUGAAACUCAAAGGAAUUGACGGGGGCCCGCACAAGCGGAGGAACAUGUGGUUUAAUUCGAUGAUACGCGAGGAACCUUACCCGGGCUUAAAUUGCAUUUGAAUAUAUUGGAAACAGUAUAGUCGUAAGACAAAUGUGAAGGUGCUGCAUGGUUGUCGUCAGCUCGUGCCGUGAGGUGUCGGCUUAAGUGCCAUAACGAGCGCAACCCUUAUCUUUAGUUACUAACAGGUCAUGCUGAGGACUCUAGAGAGACUGCCGUCGUAAGAUGUGAGGAAGGUGGGGAUGACGUCAAAUCAGCACGGCCCUUACGUCCGGGGCUACACACGUGUUACAAUGGGGGGUACAGAAGGCAGCUACCUGGUGACAGGAUGCUAAUCCCAAAAGCCUCUCUCAGUUCGGAUCGAAGUCUGCAACCCGACUUCGUGAAGCUGGAUUCGCUAGUAAUCGCGCAUCAGCCAUGGCGCGGUGAAUACGUUCCCGGGCCUUGUACACACCGCCCGUCAAGCCAUGAAAGCCGGGGGUACCUGAAGUACGUAACCGCAAGGAGCGUCCUAGGGUAAAACUGGUAAUUGGGGCUAAGUCGUAACAAGGUAGCCGUACCGGAAGGUGCGGCUGGAACACCUCCUUU
RNAcentral lists this ribosomal RNA (1534 nucleotides) under Bacteroides thetaiotaomicron. Its description in RNAcentral is "bacterial SSU rRNA". It matches the Rfam family "Bacterial small subunit ribosomal RNA". The record is from RNAcentral. Lineage: Bacteria; Pseudomonadati; Bacteroidota; Bacteroidia; Bacteroidales; Bacteroidaceae.